This is a non-coding RNA of Plectropomus leopardus (leopard coralgrouper), 482 nucleotides long. The record is from RefSeq and is a predicted model, not a curated record. NCBI's taxonomy places the organism in Eukaryota, Metazoa, Chordata, Actinopteri, Perciformes, Serranidae.
GUCUGCACAGUCGAAGGAGAAACAGACCCACGAGACGAGACGAGGAGUGGGAGACACAGACAAACACUGGGAGAGACAGAGGGGAGGGAGGGGGACAACUGUGAAGUUCAACUUUAAGAGUGUGACACUGGAGGGCAUGAGGAGACCGAGGAAAAGGAGUACAAACUGUUGUCUCAGAGAGGCACUUCACACUUCACAGUAAUUGCGGCAACCUGUUGAUCAGGACAGACGUUCACACGGAGCGACAGUAAAGUGUGCCUGCUAUUCAAAAUGUACUGUAAUGUUGGCACUGGAAUAUUGCCCUGAUCUGUGGUCCGCCACUGUGGACCGGCUCUAUUACAAAGGUCAGACGUAAAUAGUUCCUUUGAAUGGGAUGGCUUUAUUUUUGUCUGUCUGUCUGUCUGUCUGUCUGCUUAUCUGUUUGAUUUAAGGAUUAUAUCUUCCAACCGUCUGAAUGAAUUACUACAUAAUUAGUCCGCCUA